CCUACGGGAGGCAGCAGUGAGGAAUAUUGGUCAAUGGACGAGAGUCUGAACCAACCAAGUAGCGUGAAGGAUGACUGCCCUAUGGGUUGUAAACUUCUUUUAUAUGGGAAUAAAAUGUUCCACGUGUGGGAUUUUGUAUGUACCAUAUGAAUAAGGAUCGGCUAACUCCGUGCCAGCAGCCGCGGUAAUACGGAGGAUCCGAGCGUUAUCCGGAUUUAUUGGGUUUAAAGGGAGCGUAGGUGGAUUGUUAAGUCAGUUGUGAAAGUUUGCGGCGCAACCGUAAAAUUGCAGUUGAAACUGGCAGUCUUGAGUACAGUAGAGGUGGGCGGAAUUCGUGGUGUAGCGGUGAAAUGCUUAGAUAUCACGAAGAAAUCCGAUUGCGAAGGCAGUUCACUGGACUGCAACUGACACUGAGGCUCGAAAGUGUGGGUAUCAAACAGGAUUAGAUACCCCGGUAGUC
This 460-nucleotide ribosomal RNA is filed under the name uncultured bacterium. RNAcentral's name for it is "partial 16S ribosomal RNA". It matches the Rfam family "Bacterial small subunit ribosomal RNA", at positions 338 to 795 of the family's 1533-position model. The record is from RNAcentral.